This 483-nucleotide ribosomal RNA is filed under the name Indoplanorbis exustus. Its description in RNAcentral is "partial large subunit ribosomal RNA". It matches the Rfam family "Bacterial large subunit ribosomal RNA", at positions 1797 to 2619 of the family's 2925-position model. The record is from RNAcentral. Lineage: Eukaryota; Metazoa; Mollusca; Gastropoda; Planorbidae.
CGCCUGUUUAUCAAAAACAUAGUUUAGUGUAUAUACAUACUAAAUUAAUUCUGCCCAGUGUAUAUAUUAUAAAUGGCCGCAGUACCCUGACUGUGCUAAGGUAGCAUAAUCAAUUGGCUUUUAAUUGAAGUCUGGAAUGAAAGAAUAAAUGAGGUUAUUCUCUCUUAAAAGUACUAUUAAAAAGUUAUUUAUUAGGUGAAAAUACCUAAAUUUAAUUAAAAGACGAGAAGACCCUAAGAGUUUUUAAUAAAAAUAAUGUAGAUUAUUCAUUUUUUUGUUGGGGCGACAAUUUAGCACUUUUUAAAACCUAAAUUCUUGUACAAGGCGAUUAUUUUAAGAAAGAAAAAACUACCUUAGGGAUAACAGCAUAAUUUUUUAAAAGUUUGUGACCUCGAUGUUGGACUAGGAACUUUAUGACUAGCAGUCAAAAGAGAUUUAUUCUGUUCGAAUAAUUUUAUCCUACGUGAUCUGAGUUCAGACCGG